GAUGAACGCUGGCGGCGUGCCUAAUACAUGCAAGUCGAGCGAACAGACGAGGAGCUUGCUCCUCUGACGUUAGCGGCGGACGGGUGAGUAACACGUGGAUAACCUACCUAUAAGACUGGGAUAACUUCGGGAAACCGGAGCUAAUACCGGAUAAUAUAUUGAACCGCAUGGUUCAAUAGUGAAAGACGGUUUUGCUGUCACUUAUAGAUGGAUCCGCGCCGCAUUAGCUAGUUGGUAAGGUAACGGCUUACCAAGGCAACGAUGCGUAGCCGACCUGAGAGGGUGAUCGGCCACACUGGAACUGGGACGCGUUCCAGACUCCUACGGGAGGCAGCAGUGGUGAAUCUGCCGCAGUGGGCGAAAGCCUGACGGAGCAACGCCGCGUGAGUGAUGAAGGUCUUCGGAUCGUAAAACUCUGUUAUUAGGGAAGAACAAAUGUGUAAGUAACAAUGCACGUCUUGACGGUACCUAAUCAGAAGGCCACGGCUAACUACGU
Molecule: ribosomal RNA, 496 nt
Filed under: uncultured bacterium
Lineage: Bacteria
Description: partial 16S ribosomal RNA
Rfam family: Bacterial small subunit ribosomal RNA
Source: RNAcentral